RNAcentral lists this long non-coding RNA (2861 nucleotides) under Homo sapiens (human). RNAcentral's name for it is "HSALNT0263974". Lineage: Eukaryota; Metazoa; Chordata; Mammalia; Primates; Hominidae. The record is from RNAcentral.
UGGAUUCUUGAGAAGUGGAUAAGCACAUGUUCUCUGGAGUUCUUAGACCAUUGUAUGAAGAAACCCAAGUGAGCCUGCUAAAGAUUGAGAAACCACAUGGAAGAAACACAAACUGCCACAACAGAAGCUCAUAAAGACUAACCAGCCUUCCAACCACCAGUGAUCUGAAUGAAGUUAUCCUUAAUCAACCUGUUGAGAGCAGACUUGCCAACUGACUAUAGGCCAUGAGAGAACUUUGCAGCGAUAAGCAAAGCUGGUUCAGACCAGAAGAAUUACAGUGAUGAUCCACAGACAUCUUCACUAGGAUUUAUCUUGGUGUUUGUUAUGUCAUUUUUGUCUUGGACAACAUGUACCCACUGAAUCUGAAGAUUCAAGACUUAUGAGAAACUUUCAGGAAACUGAAGGCAGAAGAGAGGCUAAGUAACUUUUUCAAGAUCACACAGCUAAUAAAUGGCAAGGUCUGGAUUUAAACCCAACUGCCUGAUUCCAGAAUCCAGCCUGCUUCAUGCAGUACAGUCUAUCCUAAUGAGGAAGUGUAUUGGCAUCUCCUCUCUAAGCCAGUCAGUCAGCUGGCUUACUCCAGGGAUAUCUGCAUUUGGCAAGUUCUAGACUAUUUAGACAGUCCCCCACCAUUUGGAAGUCACUGUCCAGUGAAAGGAUAACAGAGUGGGUUUCAACCAUUGUGGCACUGCAUGCUUCUGAGGAAGAGAAAGGAGGUGGACGGAGGAGAUGGAAAGACAAAGGUAGCAGAUUAAAAAGGAAACAGAUAAUCAGAGAAAGCUGAUGCAGAUGGAUGGAAGCACGGUUUGCUCCUGCUACUACAGGACAUGCUAAGGGAAGUAGAGUAUAAUUGGCUGUAUCCCCUGACUUCAGUCUUCCCUGGAUGCAACUUUCCAGGUUUCCUCAAAUUCUAGGCUCACCAUAGCACGAGAAGAGAAGAGAUCACAUGGUGCGCAGGUGCCUAAGCAGUUACCCUCCUCUCCUCAAAGGGGAAGCUACCUGAAGCAGUUUGAUCAGCAUUCUUAACUCGUUACUACUGCUAAAAAUUAAAUGUUUUAAUGGCAGACACUCUGACUCCAGACAUUGUAAUUAAAGAUCACCGUUGAUUCAAGAGGUCCUAACCUCAGCAGGCUGCAUCAGUAUCUUCUGUCUGAAGAAGUUGCUUUCUUUUCAUCAAACACAUUCCAGAAGUCAGCGGUAAAAGCACUGACGGGGGAGAGCAGAUUGAUCCAUUAACUCUCACCCAGUUCCUUGGCUGAACCCUCGCUUCACAUUCCAGUUUUAGAGAUUUGGUGAGUUAUCAAACAGGAAACAAGCUCUGAAAGGAAUUGUGUCUUUGGAGGUUGUUGCCAAGGCUCCUUCUUGUAGCCUGUGCACCCUAGAGAGGAUGAGAGAUCUGCCUCCUAACAACAGUUUUCAAGACUUCUCAAACUUUCUGCCUGAAUUAUGGGGUGGGGAGACCUUGUUAAAAUACACGUAGUGUAUACAAGUAGCGGUGGAUCCUGAGACUCUGCAUUUCUGUGCUUCUAAUAAGCUCCCAGCUGAUGCCAAUGUCAUGCCCAUGAGCCACAUUUUGAGUAGGAAGGAGCUAAAAAGCACUGGGAAUCUGACAGAAGACAAGGUAGUUGCCUUUUUACCCAUUUGAGUUUAAGCUUCCAACGUUAUCCAACAAUGCAUCAUAUAUACUUGCCAAAUGACAUUGGGUUGAAUGCAGUGGGAAGAAAUACAUAAGAAACUGCCCAGUGUGUGGUUAUUCAAACACCUACUGCUCAGGUUGUGAACAACACAGUCACUUUAAACCCCAUGGGCCCAGUGAGAAUGAGGAAUCCCGGCAAAAAACAAAGGUGUGUGUCUCUAAGGUGAGAAGAUUGACAAGGGAAGAUAGCCUCCAUACUUUCAGCAAGGCUAAAAGAGGAAUAGUGAUUAUUUCCUCUGUGCUCAGUUCUCUUUCGGGUGACUUUUUAACCUCAGGAGGUACUCCAGGCCACUUUGAGGGGAAUUCGAUUUGGGUGUAGCCUUUUAAGGCACCAUUCCAUGUGACUAAAAUAAAGAUCACAAGUGAGAUCCAAAGCACAGAGAAGUACUGCCUUAACAGAUCUGAACUUGCGGCAAGUUGCAGCUCCUCACCAUAGUCCAAGUUUCACUUUUCUCUCAAUUGAAGAGCCUGAGAUAACUGCUGAAUUUAGUUUUCGUUUUCUCCAAGAAGAGUGACCUUCUUACCUUAAAUUCUUUAAACUUACUGAUAAGGUUUCAUGUCAGACAGACCUGGCCCUGGUGUUUUGACAUACCGCCUGUGCCAUCUUGAACGCCAGACUUUUACAAAUGUUAUUUUCUCUUUUGUAAAAUUUAAAUGAUGAAAACCUACCCCACGGCAUUGCUGUGAAUCCUAAAUAAGGUAACGUAUAAACCAAGUAUGUAUAGUCUAAAUAAAUCAAUAAAACAACACAUGCACCUAUCUUUCCAAUUGUUAAAAAAAAAAAAAAAGUAGAACAUCUUUGUCCCCAAAAGCAGCUCAAAAUUCUUCUAGGAGUAGAGAGGGCAUUAGAAAUGCCAAAGGAUUUCCUUUGGUGGCGAAUUUGACGGCUGGGAAAUAUUUUAGGAGAGAGAAGGCCAUAAUUUAAAGUAUCCUGACAUCAAUAAAUAUUUCCUUAGCAUUUAGCUGUGAGAGCUCUGAAUCCUCUGUCUGUUCAGAAAUUUCUAAUUUAAAAAUAAUAUGGUGCUUUGGGAGUUUGUGAAUCCACACAAACGUCAGAAAGACCCGGUGUCGUCAUAGUUUUCCACACUUAGGGAGAUGUGUACACUGCCCUUAUUUCUUCCUGAGAUGACGAAGGAAGACAAGGUAACCUCCAUUACCCCUUCAG